UGUUUGCUGAUAAGCUACUCAUCUGAUUGUUCUUCUUGCCCUCGUUCCCCCUGAGAUGAUGACCUUCUGUCUUUGCUUGGCUCCCCUUCAGCUUCUUUCUGAUCAUGCUCCCCUUCAGACUCUGUGAUCAUGGGAUCAUCAUCUUUUGGCUCCCCCUCAGAUGAUGAUACUCUUUCUGUAGCUGAUGUCUUCUUCUCUG
Molecule: long non-coding RNA, 199 nt
Filed under: Panax ginseng (ginseng)
Lineage: Eukaryota; Viridiplantae; Streptophyta; Magnoliopsida; Apiales; Araliaceae
Description: long non-coding RNA (PGIN_LNC003921)
Source: RNAcentral